GCAAACAAAUUUAUUCAUAUUUUAUAAAUGUUAUUAUUCAAGAAUCACGUUCUUUGAUAAGCUAACUUGGUGCACUCACACGUCUAUGAAGCUUUGGAAUGAUGCUGAAAUAUGCAAACAGCAGACAUUGUUUGAAGCGGAACAACAGCAACGCGGAAAUGCGAGAUAGAAUUUCAAUAUACGCAUUUUCGUCUCGUUCAAAUUCAAAGAGCUACACCCUGUCGACAGCGAUGGAAAAACUUUUUUCAACAUUGUUGGCGUUGGCCGUUGCAUUGAUGUUUUUAAUAGGAACAUCUUAUGGUUGCGAGACAGACGAAGAUUGCGACUGGUGCGAACAUUGCGACCCUGACUAUGGCCCUACAUGUUAUGAAGGUGUUUGUUAUUAGCGCGAAACAAUGUUCAUGCACUGAAAAAAUCAAUAAGAUCAUCACCAUACAAAGAGAAGGAAUACCUUGUAUACAACCCAACAAAUGUUUUUCAUUGAUUAAUAAAUAUAAUAUGAAGUAAAUACAAAAAUACCUUGUUUCGUUUUGUUUUGGUAAUUUGAU
Long non-coding RNA from Styela clava, 548 nucleotides. RefSeq lists it as uncharacterized. The record is from RefSeq and is a predicted model, not a curated record. Lineage: Eukaryota; Metazoa; Chordata; Ascidiacea; Stolidobranchia; Styelidae.